AUGGAGGGAGCACUUGUCACCUCCAACUUCAGCAUGUCUGAUCUCUACCCCGCCAAAGCCAAUGCUGCUCAUGCUCCGAGAUCGAGGAGGCUCUCCUACAUCUCCCCUGCUGCCUCUUCUGCUGCUGCUCCGAACCCCAGCUACAGAAGGAGGAAGGGCACGUCGCCCCCGCCGCCGUCGGCUGCCGCCACCGCCACCGUCCUCACCUCGCCGCCGAAGCCGGUCGAGCAACAAGAGACGGAAGAGCACUUGGUCGACACGUCGACUAACAAUGUAAGUGCUACAAGAGUGACUACCGCGAGAACGAGCAGGCCGUCUGAUGCGCCUCGGUCGUCCAGGCCUCGCCGCCGGCCUACUGCUUCGCUACAGGCGGCGUUCUGCAACGCGCUGGAGGAGGCGAUCAACACGUUCGUCGACCCGCCGGUGCUGCGUCCGUCGGUGGAUCCGCGGCACGUGCUGUCCGCCAACUUCGCGCCCGUGGACGAGCUGCCGCCCACGCCCUGCCCCGUGGUGCGCGGCGUCAUCCCGCGCUGCCUCGCCGGUGGCGCCUACAUCCGCAACGGGCCCAACCCGCAGCACCUCCCGCGCGGGCCGCACCACCUCUUCGACGGCGACGGCAUGCUGCACUCCCUGCUCCUCCCGACGGCGCCCGACUCCGACCCCGUCCUCUGCUCCCGCUACGUGCAGACGUACAAGUACAUCGUGGAGCGCAACGCCGGCGAGCCGGUCUUGCCCAACGUCUUCUCCGGGUUCCAUGGCCUGGCCGGGAUGGCGCGCGGCGCCGUCACGGCGGCCAGGGUGCUGACAGGCCAGAUGAACCCGAUGGAGGGCGUGGGGCUCGCCAACACCAGCCUCGCCGUCUUCGGCGGCCGCCUCUACGCGCUCGGCGAGUCGGACCUCCCGUACGCCGUGCGCGUCGACCCGGCCACCGGUGAGGUGACCACGCUCGGCAGGUGCGACUUCGGUGGCCGCCUCAGCAUGGGCAUGACCGCGCACCCCAAGAAGGACCCCAUCACUGGCGAGCUCUUCGCGUUCCGCUACGGCCCCAUGCCACCGUUCGUCACCUACUUCAGGUUCGACCCGGCAGGGAACAAGGGCGCCGACGUGCCCAUCUUCUCCGUCAAGCAGCCGUCAUUCCUGCACGACUUCGCCGUGACGGAGCAUUAUGCGAUAUUCCCGGAGAUACAGAUCGUGAUGAACCCCAUGGGCAUGGUGGUGGGCGGCGGCUCGCCCGUCGGGGCGGACCCGGGCAUGGUGCCACGCCUCGGCGUGAUCCCCAAGUACGCCGCGGACGAGUCGGAGAUGCGGUGGUUCGAGGUGCCGGGGUUCAACAUGAUGCACUCGGUGAACGCGUGGGAGGAGGCCGGCGGCGAGGAGAUCGUGAUGGUGGCGCCCAACAUCCUGUCCAUCGAGCACACGCUGGAGCGCAUGGAGCUGAUCCACGCCUCCGUGGAGCUGGUGCGCAUCAACCUCCGCACCGGCAACGUCACCCGCACGCCGCUCGCGGCGGCGAACCUCGACUUCGGCGUGAUCAACCCGGGCUGCCUCGGCCGCCGCAACCGCUACGGCUACUUCGGCGUGGGCGACCCCAUGCCCAAGAUCGGCGGGGUGGCCAAGCUCGACUUCGACCGCGCCGGCCACGGCGACUGCACCGUGGCGCGCCGGGACUUCGGGCCGGGGUGCUUCGCCGGGGAGCCGUUCUUCGUCCCCGACGACGUUGAGGGGAACGGCGACGAGGACGACGGCUACGUGGUGUGCUACGUGCACGACGAGGGCACCGGCGACAACCGGUUCGUGGUGAUGGACGCGCAGGCGCCCGAGCUGGACAUCGUCGCCGAGGUGCAGCUUCCCUCCCGCGUCCCCUACGGCUUCCACGGCCUGUUCGUCACGCAGGCCGAGCUCCGGUCACAGCACCAAUGA
RNAcentral lists this ribosomal RNA (1920 nucleotides) under Triticum aestivum (bread wheat). RNAcentral describes it as "partial small subunit ribosomal RNA". Lineage: Eukaryota; Viridiplantae; Streptophyta; Magnoliopsida; Poales; Poaceae. The record is from RNAcentral.